GGAUGUGAGGGCGAUCUGGAUCUGGCUACAACAUCUGUCACCCCAUUGAUCACCAGGGUUGAUUUGGCUAAUCUGGCUGGCUGGGCAGGUGUCCCCUUCCUCCCUCAUCACUCCAUGUGCAUCUGUCCUGCAGCUGUUCACUCAGUACAAGAGGACAACCACCCCCAACAGAGGAGGACCUGUUUCCUCAGUCAAGGGUAUAUGAGUAGCUGUGCUCCCCUCUGCUGGAACCUCCAAAGAAGCUCUCAAGAAUAUUAGACACCACUACAAAAAGACAUGGUCCUUGACUGUAAAAGUUCUCCUCUCUUCUUCCCCAAAUGGA
Fukomys damarensis (Damara mole-rat) is the source of this 322-nucleotide non-coding RNA. Lineage: Eukaryota; Metazoa; Chordata; Mammalia; Rodentia; Bathyergidae. The record is from Rfam.